This 90-nucleotide ribosomal RNA is filed under the name Cladosporium tenellum. RNAcentral's name for it is "partial 18S ribosomal RNA". It matches the Rfam family "Eukaryotic small subunit ribosomal RNA", at positions 1741 to 1830 of the family's 1831-position model. RNAcentral also lists the same sequence under 1 other name. The record is from RNAcentral. Lineage: Eukaryota; Fungi; Ascomycota; Dothideomycetes; Cladosporiales; Cladosporiaceae.
CCAGGGCCGGAAAGUUGGUCAAACCCGGUCAUUUAGAGGAAGUAAAAGUCGUAACAAGGUCUCCGUAGGUGAACCUGCGGAGGGAUCAUU